UCCCUGAUGGUCUAGUGGUUAUGAUUUGGUCCUCUCACCGCCAUAGCCCAGGUUCAAUUCCUGUUCAGGGAU
This is a non-coding RNA of Alligator sinensis (Chinese alligator), 72 nucleotides long. The record is from the annotation of a RefSeq genome assembly. NCBI's taxonomy places the organism in Eukaryota, Metazoa, Chordata, Crocodylia, Alligatoridae.